GCCGCGUUAGCUCAGUUGGUAGAGCAACCGCCUUGUAAGCGGUAGGUCGAGGGUUCAAAUCCUUCACGCGGCACCA
RNAcentral lists this transfer RNA (76 nucleotides) under Mesorhizobium sp. B2-8-5. RNAcentral's name for it is "tRNA-Thr". It matches the Rfam family "tRNA". Rfam says of the family: Transfer RNA (tRNA) molecules are approximately 80 nucleotides in length. Their secondary structure includes four short double-helical elements and three loops (D, anti-codon, and T loops). The record is from RNAcentral. Lineage: Bacteria; Pseudomonadati; Pseudomonadota; Alphaproteobacteria; Hyphomicrobiales; Phyllobacteriaceae.